RNAcentral lists this ribosomal RNA (463 nucleotides) under uncultured bacterium. Its description in RNAcentral is "partial 16S ribosomal RNA". It matches the Rfam family "Bacterial small subunit ribosomal RNA", at positions 28 to 507 of the family's 1533-position model. The record is from RNAcentral.
AACGAACGCUGGCGGCGUGCUUAACACAUGCAAGUCGAACGGACCGGCGCUGCAUUUGCGGGGUGCUCAAGAAGGGAACGGGUGAGUACCACGUGAGUAACCUGCCCUUGACUUUGGGGUGGCUUCAGGGAACUCGGGCUAAUACCGGAUGGGUGAUCCUGCUGCGUGGUGGGGGUUGGAGAGUUUUGGCGGGUGGGGAUGGGCUCGCGUUGGAUCAGCUUGUUGGUGGGGUAGUGGCCUACCAAGGCGAUGACGCGUAGCUGGCCGGGGAGGGUGACCGGCCACGCUGGGACUGAGACCCGGCCCAGAAUCCGACGGGAGGCAGCAGUGGGGAAUCUUAGGCGAUGAGGGCAAACCUGAUCUAGCCAUGCCGGGUGAGUGAUGAAGGCCUUAGGGUUGUAAAGCUCUUUGAGCUGGGAAGAUAAUGACGGUACCAGGAGAAGAAGCCCCGGCUAACUCCGUG